This 467-nucleotide long non-coding RNA is filed under the name Olea europaea (common olive). RNAcentral's name for it is "long non-coding RNA (OEUR_LNC006453)". The record is from RNAcentral. Lineage: Eukaryota; Viridiplantae; Streptophyta; Magnoliopsida; Lamiales; Oleaceae.
UUGUGGCAAGAGUUUUCUUUCACCUCAAGCACCAGGUGGGCACAGAUCAAGCAAUGUAAAAGUUCAAGGUGGGGAUUUUACAGCACCAUUUCAUUAUUCUUAUGUUAAAAAUGGACCAAAUGCCAAUGCCAUCAAACAAUUGGAAGAAAACAACGUAAGUAAAAAAGCAGUUUAUUAUAAUACUUAUCACACAUUCACACUGAUUUGCAACAAUAAUUUCCCUUCUGUUCUGGCUCAUGGAUUUCAGAAUCAUGCCGAUCAUGUUCCAUCCCACCUAGUUACCUCUACAUGGGACGAAGAGAAAGAAGACCUUCAAGUUCUCAAGCUCAACCUCAAUGAACUGCCUAACCAGGAUGGUGAAGAUGGGUUGGAGCCUGGUAAUACAGCUAGCUAGAUAUGUUCAUUUGAUCACAUUAAUGAACUUUUUAGGCCUUCAAUAUCAAGACUUUUGCUGUCUAUUUGUUUUC